UCCCUAGUAGCUUAGAUGGUAAAGCACCUGCCUGCAAUGGAGAAGACCCGGGUUUGGUCCCUGGGUUGGGAA
Molecule: transfer RNA, 72 nt
Filed under: Bos taurus (domestic cattle)
Lineage: Eukaryota; Metazoa; Chordata; Mammalia; Artiodactyla; Bovidae
Also listed under: 2 other names
Rfam family: tRNA
About the family: Transfer RNA (tRNA) molecules are approximately 80 nucleotides in length. Their secondary structure includes four short double-helical elements and three loops (D, anti-codon, and T loops). Further hydrogen bonds mediate the characteristic L-shaped molecular structure. tRNAs have two regions of fundamental functional importance: the anti-codon, which is responsible for specific mRNA codon recognition, and the 3' end, to which the tRNAs corresponding amino acid is attached (by aminoacyl-tRNA synthetases). tRNAs cope with the degeneracy of the genetic code in two manners: having more than one tRNA (with a specific anti-codon) for a particular amino acid; and 'wobble' base-pairing, i.e. permitting non-standard base-pairing at the 3rd anti-codon position.
Source: Rfam by way of RNAcentral